UAAGGAUGUUGGACUGAAUCUAUUGC
Molecule: non-coding RNA, 26 nt
Filed under: Homo sapiens (human)
Lineage: Eukaryota; Metazoa; Chordata; Mammalia; Primates; Hominidae
Source: RNAcentral